CUUUCAUGGGAGUGCGCGCGGACCGGAUGGAGUUGCCAUGGAAACGGAGCGCAACACUGCAAAUGUCAUGAGGAAACAACCCGUUUCUCGCUGAUUUCACUGUUUUCAGGAAUGGUUUAAUGUCUUCGAAAAAGUCCGUUAGCAUUUCUACCGUUUUCAGACGACAUAUGGUCAGUGACAAAAUAAUCCUUCUACAACAGA
Molecule: long non-coding RNA, 201 nt
Organism: Carassius auratus (goldfish)
Lineage: Eukaryota; Metazoa; Chordata; Actinopteri; Cypriniformes; Cyprinidae
Exons: 3
Source: RefSeq, a predicted model, not a curated record